Molecule: ribosomal RNA, 279 nt
Filed under: uncultured bacterium
Lineage: Bacteria
Description: partial 16S ribosomal RNA
Rfam family: Bacterial small subunit ribosomal RNA
Source: RNAcentral
UGCCAGCCGCCGCGGUAACACGGGGGGCGCAAGCGUUAUUCGGAAUUAUUGGGCGUAAAGCGCACGUAGGCGGACUGGAAAGUAUAGGGUGAAAUCCCGGGACUCAACCCCGGAACUGCCUUGUAAACUCCUGGUCUUGAGUUCGAGAGAGGUGAGUGGAAUUCCGAGUGUAGAGGUGAAAUUCGUAGAUAUUCGGAGGAACACCAGUGGCGAAGGCGGCUCACUGGCUCGAUACUGACGCUGAGGUACGAAAGUGUGGGGAGCAAACAGGAUUAGAUA